UCUGGUGGCAAUAGCGAAGAGGUCACACUCACACCCGUUCCCCAUCCCGAACACGGCAGUUAAGCUCUUCAGCGCCGAUGGUAAUAAGGGGCUUCCCCUUGUGAGAGCAGGACGUUGCCAGGC
RNAcentral lists this ribosomal RNA (123 nucleotides) under Lederbergia galactosidilytica. The record is from RNAcentral. Lineage: Bacteria; Bacillati; Bacillota; Bacilli; Caryophanales; Bacillaceae.